This is a long non-coding RNA of Vicia villosa (hairy vetch), 2843 nucleotides long. RefSeq lists it as uncharacterized. The transcript is spliced from 3 exons. The record is from RefSeq and is a predicted model, not a curated record. Lineage: Eukaryota; Viridiplantae; Streptophyta; Magnoliopsida; Fabales; Fabaceae.
CAACACUUUCUGGUGUUAACAUAUGAUUUUUGUGGUUUUGAUUUUCAUUCAAUUGCAGGUUCCAGCUGCACAAACUCAUGAUCCCAAGGUUAAGCCUGAUUGCUAUGGUGUCUUCUGCCUUACCUUUGAUUUCAAGCCUGCCAACAACGGGUGGUGCUGCUCCUCCUUCCGAGAUCGUAAAGUAUCAGUAGACUACAUAUCAAAGAGGUUAAGUGAUUCUGUGUUCGACAACUCCAUCAAUGAGCUGAAGUGAUUCCGUGUUCGACAGGUACACCAAAUUGGACCGUCCAUGUUUUCGAUGCCAAAUCUGGUCUUUCUCUACUUGCAAAAUCAUAUUAUGGAAUUGUUGGUUUUCAAGACCAACUCAGGGUCUGUUUGGAUAAGUACUUAUGUAUACUAUUUCGAUGCCAAAUUAAUGCAGGUUGUUUGUGUAGGUACUACCAUAUAUGAACCAAUCUUAAGUUACUAUUUUGGUUCAAAACUGUGUUGUAAAGUUACAUACUCAUAAUAUUAUGAGUCCUUUGAAAUGUUUUCAAUCUUAUUAAAUAUAUGGAGUAGAGCCAUCUGUAAGUAAUGUGCUCAAUGGCGGUGAACCAGGUAAAUAUCAUUGUUCAUUUAUUUGUCAUUUUUGGCAUCUGAGAAGUGAUUUAUACAAAAUUGCUAUGUAAAAGACGGUUAAAAUUAUGUAGAACAAUGUCAUUUAUUACUCUCUUCUUAUGUCUUGAAUUUGCAGGAAUCGAUGAAAUGCGAUUGAUUUGUUGAUAUUGGUACGUAGAUAAAACCAUUGAAACUGGAUUAUCUGAUGCAUGUUGGUAUUCAUUAAUUCACAAUCAAUAUAUACAUCUUGAGAUCUACAUUAAUGGUAUUGUGAUCCAAUUCUUUUUCCAAUUUGAAUGAGCCUUUAUGCGAUUGUAAAACUCUUCCACCUACCUUGAGAUUGGUAGCUUUAUCGGCAAUGUCAAUUUGUUUCGUCGACGCCUCUGUAUAGCACCAUAGUACUGUCAUUCUGCCUAGCAGAAUCAACAAUUGCACCAUUUUCAUACAAUGAUGCUUCUAGGAUGUUAUGUCGUCUUGUAUUAUUAUACUCAUGAUGUAGUGCGGAAUAUCUCACCUAUUGCGAGAGAUACAUCGUCUUUUAGCCCUUUGAAUAACCAUUAUGAUAUAGUGCUACUGGAAUGUCAAAUUAUAGAACAAAAGCUUUGGGACGAAGAUCCUCAUGAGUAUGUUAGGAAAGACUAUGGUAUGUGAUGCCUUCUUAUUGGAGGCUUUUCAGAUUUGAAUUGAAAGUAUCUUCUGCACUUCGCUUUCAAAUUGUAAUCUUAUGGUUUUAAUUUUUUGUUUUUUUACUGUUUCCUACUGUGUCACUUUUUCUUAGAUAUGAGUAAGUUAUUCUUUAGAAUUGUAUGCCACUUUUCAAUUAUGAAAACAACAUUGUUUCUAAGAACUAAGAUGCAUAAGGUACAAGGACUAAGAUGCACUGCUAUUGAUACGGAGGUAGUAACAGUAUCAUUUUAUUACACUGCUGCUGGUACAGAUGCAGUAACAAUUUAUAUUUGUUAUUUUUGGCUCAUACGUUAGCCUCUCUGUACAGGCCAAAGUUGCUCAUGUGAAUGCUUGGAAGGUUUCAUGCCAAAUUUCAACCAAAGUGGGAGUCAUCAAUUUGGUUUUAUGGGACUGUAAGGAAAACACAUUCAAACACAUCCUGGUUUGACAAGAGCCUGAGCAUUGAGGAAUGCAAGACUGUGUGUUUGAAAAAUUGUUCUUAUCAUAGUAGUGGCUGCUUAAUUUGGUUUGACACAAUUAAGGACAUGUGAAGGUGUAAUCCAUUUAUAUCAGUUGUGGAUAUUGUGGACAUGACAAGGCUGUUUCAAAAGGAAAAGGUAUUUUGGUUAUCAUUUCUAAGUUUAUAUCAUUUAGUUUGCUGAAUGAAAAUCUCAUUUUAUUUGAUUUCAUUAACUAAGCAGUGGAUUGAGACUUUUGUUGCAUAGCUUUGUUUGACAAAGUAUUAGUUAGAGAAUGCUUAGCAAGUAUGAUACUUGCAAGGUUAUGGAUACCCGUGUAAUGCUGGAGCUUCGACAAAAACAUAUUGCUUUGAUAACGGUUUGAUGGUCCGUGAAGCAAUGAAAAGGAAUUCCGAUCUAACCGAGGACAUUAUUACUACAUGCCAUGAGUCGGAAAUAACUCAGGAAAUCGAAGACACUUAAUACAUAACGGUUAAAAAGACACCGAAUACGAAAGGGUUAAAAGACGCUAAAUAUGAAAAGGUUAAAAGACAAAUCCAAGAUGUUGGUGGAGCUGUCAUGAAAUAAGCAAGGUUUUCUUACUUGAUGUUUCUAUUCCUAUUAUAAUCUAGCUAUCAAUUCUUAAUUUUAGAAGGUUAGUGUUUAAAUGAUUAUGGUAAUUUAUGUUUUUAGCUUUUAGAAAAACUUGUCCUGAGUGACAUUUUACCUGAGAAGCAGUUGUUUUCACAUUUUGAUUGUGUGUUUCUUGUGUGCGUUCCAAUCAUAGGAUAAAUGAGGCAUCUGUUACAAUCAUAUGAUAAUAUGAAUCUCUAAUCUAUGUAAUCAUAUUAGUUUGCUUAACUGAGAUGUGGUUUGAUAAAUAUUCAAGGACACUGAGAUUUGCUGAUACUUAUAGAAUGGAGUGCCCAGCUACAGUUCACUGUCUCGUGGUAUCUGAUGUGCCUGCUACGGUGGAGCAUCGAGCCAUUGCGGAAGCAGAUACAUCCACCUCGGCUGCCAUUGUGGCUGAAUGUGUUUAUAAUUUUAUUACAUCUAUGUAUUCCUUGAAACUUAACAUGGUGGCUGUGGAUUAACUGAAUUUUUCUACUUUGGUUACUAAUA